CAAUGUCCUCGGCAGCAAAAACCUCACCUUCCAGCGGUUUUCAGUGAAAGCCCCGGGACAUAGUCUCAACACCGAUGGAAUUCACAUUGGACGAUCGGAGGGGAUCAACAUAAUUAAUUCAAACAUUGUCACCGGUGAUGAUUGCAUCUCCAUUGGCCAGGGGAGCAAGCAAGUACGAAUCACAAAUGUAAGGUGCGGACACGGGCAUGGCAUUAGUGUUGGAAGCUUAGGAAAGUACGAGAAGGAAGAACCUGUGUCCAGAAUUUAUGUAAAGAAUUGCACAAUAUACGACACUGACAAUGGCGUGAGAAUUAAGACUUGGCCCGCAUUGUAUGGUGGCAUUGAGUCGAAUAUCCAUUUCGAGGACAUCGUCAUGCAGAACGUCAGCAAUCCCAUCAUUAUAGAUCAAAUGUACUGCCCAUGGAACCUAUGCAAUCGGAAGGUAACUUUUUAAUUUUCAUUUUUUUUCCAACCAAAAAGGGGAAUCUUUUUUAUUAUUAUUAUUUAUUCAUGGAGAUCAUAUAGUUGUGUGAUGUUGGCUAGAAGAAUACAUUUAUACAAAAAUAUUGUGCCUUUUUUCAGAAGCCAUCAAAAGUUCAAAUCAGCGACGUCAGCUUCAAGAAUAUUCAAGGAUCGUCAAGAACGGGCCGUUCAAAUUACGUGUAGCAGCAGCGUACCAUGUAAGGACAUUGUGCUUUCUAACGUUAACCUCAAGUACACCGGAUGUAAGGGAUCUGCGAAAUCUGUUUGUACAAAUGUUAAGCCUAGGAUUAUAGGAAAGUUGAUUCUGGGAGGAUGCUAAUGCACUCAUUUGUUGAUUCUUUAUAUAAAUGGAGAAAAUUUCUCGAUUGCACAUUGCAAUUCAUUCUUCAACUUUUCAAAUUUAAAUGAACUAGAUCAAAUAUGAUUAAAACCAAUAACUAAAAUAUUUCAAAUUUAACUGAUAUUAACAGUACGUAAAUAAUUUUUUAAGACCUCAAUCGUAAAAAUUGCAAAAUGAAAUAAAAAAAGACAAUUUAUUAAAUGAACUUAUUAAUUUAAUAGUCAAAAUUCAAAUUAAAAUGCUAUAAUUCAAUUGUAUCAAAAUUUUACUUUAUCGAAGUUCAGAAUGAUUCAUUUCUUAAUUAAAAAACUAUAAUUCGAAAUUAAGAAAUCAAAACGAAAUUUAUUUCCCUGUAAUCCUACCCCUACCAUCAUAAUUAAAAUAUUGCAAUUCAAAAUUUUUUUUUCUUUUUUAAUUAGCGCAAUAUAAUUCGAAGAAAAUAUAUAUAUCAGUCUGCUCCAAAAUUUUGUCUUCGCUUUUUUGACGUAAUUUAUUUCCUAAUGUAACUGUUUUAAGGAAUCGAGGAAACAAAAAUAAUAUACCGCUGUAAGGACACGAAAUGAUUACAACCGAAGCUGAAUUUCUCGUUGUGAAUUUCUGUUUUUUUUUCUUUUUGCUGCGUUCCAUUUAAAAGCAAAUGAUUACAACCGAAGCUGAAUAUAUUGUCGACGCUGAAAUAAAGUACGCAUAAAAUAUUACGGUGCGUCUUCACUCAAGAAAAGAGAGAAAAGAUGCGGUAAGUUUUUUUUUUUCUUUCCUCUUUUCUUCUUUCUUUUUUUUUUUCUUGUACUUGUCAGAAAACAGUGCGUAUGCACUCGCGAGAAAAGGAAUUGCGGGUGUGGCAACACCGAUCCUUCCGCGUCCAACACGACUAGAAUUGCGGAAGUACGAAAAAGGUUGUUGCGCAAGUUAUAUAGGGUUCCAGUAUAAAACAAUUUGUUUGGAGAGAAGUGCGCAGGUUGUAGUUGUUAGUUGCAGGCUAGCGCACGCAGUCUUUUUUAGCCUAAAACAAUUAAAGCAAGAAAAAGAAGGAAAAACAGAAAACGGAAUGCGUGAAAAUGCUACAGCCUGUAAUAAACCUUGAGUAAAUUAAACGAGCCACUUGACAUAGAAAAGGCCUUUCGGAGGAGGGAAAAUUCACAAACAUUUACGAAACAAUAUAGGCUAUAGAUAUCGAAAGAGAGGAAGCGCCUUUGAAAGAGAGACAUGGGUUCCAAGGCACAUGUAUGCACAAUAUACUUCUUGUUGCUGUUUGCUUUUACCAGCGAAGCUCUGCCCAAUACCUUUGAUGUCACGAAAUAUGGUGCCAAGGCAGGAUCGAAUAUCACUAAGGUAUGGAAGUAAAUUCGAUUCUCGAUAUCGCGACGGUAUUUCCUAGAUUGUUGCGGCCAGGUUUUUCAUUUUCGUUUUCGUUUUUAGGCUAUAUUGAGUGCGUGGAAAGAGGGAUGUGCAGCAGCGGGUUCCGGCAAAGUCGUGGUACCAAAAGGGAAGUACUUUUUAGGCGUGGUGGAUUUGAUAGGCCCUUGCAAGGGUGCCAUGCAUCUUCAAGUGGAAGGAACGUUGGUGGCGCCCGCAAAAGCUAGCCAACACAGCAAGGAUAGCUGGGUUACAUUGAGAUACCUGGACCGAUUAAAGGUAUCCGGUGGCAGGGCCUUCGACAGACAAGGAGAAAUUGCUUGGGAGCGAGCGCACUGUGGCGACAGAUGCAAGACACCACUUCCAAUUGUAAGCAAAACCGAAUGCUACUUUACAAAACAACAGCCAUUCAUAGACCCGUUCAUGGCAGCAAUACUAAUAAUGUUUUCUUUGCGUAAUUGAUGUAUCAAAACUGUACCAGAACCUACGGUUUGACUUCGUCACCAACAGCAUAGUUGAGGACGUAACUUCCAUCGAUAGCAAGCAGUUCCACGUCAAUGUCCUCGGCAGCAAAAACCUCACCUUCCAGCGGUUUUCAGUGAAAGCCCUGGGACAUAGUCUCAACACCGAUGGAAUUCACAUUGGACGAUCAGAGGGGAUCAACAUAAUUAAUUCAAACAUUGUCACCAGUGAUGAUUGCAUCUCCAUUGGCCAGGGGAGCAAGCAAGUACGAAUCACAAAUGUAAGGUGCGGACACGGGCAGGUCAUUAGUGUUGGAAGCUUAGGAAAGUACGAGAAGGAAGAACCUGUGUCCGGAAUUUAUGUAAAGAAUUGCACAAUAUACGACACUGACAAUGGCGUGAGAAUUAAGACUUGGCCCGCAUUGUAUGGUGGCAUUGCGUCGAAUAUCCAUUUCGAGGACAUCG
RNAcentral lists this long non-coding RNA (3105 nucleotides) under Manihot esculenta (cassava). RNAcentral's name for it is "long non-coding RNA (MESC_LNC004096)". Lineage: Eukaryota; Viridiplantae; Streptophyta; Magnoliopsida; Malpighiales; Euphorbiaceae. The record is from RNAcentral.